Long non-coding RNA from Manis javanica (Malayan pangolin), 4658 nucleotides. RefSeq lists it as uncharacterized. NCBI's taxonomy places the organism in Eukaryota, Metazoa, Chordata, Mammalia, Pholidota, Manidae. The record is from RefSeq and is a predicted model, not a curated record.
UAAUUAAAUAAACUGGGUUCGGCCGGGCUUGACUGGGAACCCGGAGGAGUCACGAGGAGUCACAGCCCAGGGCGCUUGGUCCUCACCCGCGGCGCUCACUGCCUGGUGCCUCCUCGGGGCCGAACGACCACGUUAGCUCUGCCGUCCCUGCGCUGCCAUGGCUCUCAUUACAGUCGACGAGCUGUUAACAUUUCCAUUAGGGGAUUUUUUUUAAGGGUUAUAACCUAGUCAUAACAAUCAUUUGUUUUAGCUGAGACUCCGGUAGCAGGAAGUCAAGCUAGAAGUGACAGGAGUGAAGACAAGUAGCUGCACACCCCGCGAGCGCUCCAAAGAAGCAGACGCAUGCACCAAGAGGAAUGGGUGAAUAACUAGAGCUGUCAAUCAAAUGACCUCACCCUGUCCGUCAAAGAGGCUCCUCCCAGCCAGGAGAUGGUAAGUGGACCUCCCCUAAAAGUUUGGGGCCUUCCUCUGCCUUGACUCUGGCCUGCUCCUCCCUGGGAGUGUCUGCAAAUACCGCUUCCACCCUGCCUCGCUGUUGUGUCUGUGCCCUUCAGUGCUUUGUUUCUGCACCCGUGUGAGGACCGAGAAGAGCCAACUCUCCCUAACCGAGGUCAAGGUUCUGCGUGCUGGGGCCCUAAAGUGCUUGCACACAGGACCUGGAUUCUUGUCCCAGGCAGAGGAUGGGAAGGCCUGUGUCCAGCCAGCCGUCACCUGCAGCUGUGUGCGUGGGGGGCCACCGAGCUGAGCCCAGCCAGGCCGCCUCAAACGCAGCCCGCGCCGUCCUGGGACCUGGGGGUGGUUUGCUCCGCGGCCCUGCGGUGGCACGAGCUGACUCAACGAACUGCCCCGGCGGAGCCCCGGGGCCUGUGUCGUAAGGCCGUGUUUUGCAUCAGUCUAGCCACUCUACAUUGUAUGCUGUGCGAUUAUGCAGUACUUGCCCCAUUAAACCUUCGUUAGGCGAUGAAAAGCAAAGACCCUGAUGUCUUCGACAUUAAGGUCUAAUGAGGAAAACAGGCUUAAAUAACCACAUAAGUAAGUGGUAUAAUUACAAAUUGAGAUAAAAUCCCUUUUGCAGAGUUCUGCGAGUGUAAACAAGGAACCCUGACGUAGGCCGGGGAGUCGGAAGCUCUGCUGUGGAAUCUGGACCGAGACCUGCAGGGCGAGCACUGCCUUUCCCGGCAGGGCCCGUGGACGCUCUCGGCGGCUCGCGUGCUGUUCUAAGGGCUUGGAAAGUUCUGACUUGCCCACUCCUCACGACGCCCCUCUCACCGGCGACCAGCCCAGAAGAAGGGGGGGGGUCGGCUGAGGCCAAGUCCUCGGGCAGGGGGAGGGCCUCGGGCAGCUGAAGGGUGCCCAGGGGCAGAGAGCCCGUGGGGUGGGAAGCGCGGUGCGGCUGGGAGGGCAGCGCGGGAGGCUCUGUCGGCCUUGCCAGGACUCUCCAUCCUACCGGAUGACAAUGAGAAGUCUCUGAUGGGUCUUACAUAGGACAGGGAAUGGGUGCUAUGGCCAGAUUAGCAUUUACUGCCAAGAAUCCAGGUUGUCCAAAGGAGAAUGAAUUAGAAGGGCCUAAGGGGGAUAAAGGGGGUUCAGUAAGGGGGAUCUUGUGAUAAACCAGGCAUGAAAUAAUAGUAACUUAGGCAAGAAUGACAGGCGAGGAAAUGGAGACAAGGGGACAUAUUUGAGCAGUUAUCAGGAGAGGAGAUAAGAUCUGCAGAGUUUUAAUAGAGACAUUCAUAUUAUUUAUUAGCUUCUCUGUUGAGUACCAACAGCUUACAGGUGUUCUAUGGGACCCCCUUCCUGGGCUUCCUAGAGGAGGCACAGAGCUUGGAGAGGAAGCGGGUUUCUGGUUUAGCAACUCCUUUCGGCGGAGGAGAGUGCCAGAGGCAUGGGGUGGGUGGGGGGAGGCUGGAGAGACUGCCGUAUGGCUUUGUACCACUUGGAAACAGGAACUUGAAAAAUAUACAUGCAUAACAAUUCCACAAUUUGUGUAUGGAAAGCUGCAAUAUUUUAAUAUUGCUUUUGAAAUAUCAUUUUAGAUUUCCAUGAAGGAAUCAAUGACUCACGGAGAAUACUGAAUAAGCUGGAGGGAUGUCUUCAGUGCUGGGGCCUCCCACAGGGACUUAGGAUGGAUUGCAUGUCGCUUUCCCAAGGCUUAGGAGGGUAUUAGGUCCUUCUAUGCUCACUUAAUGUUCCCUCUUCUUAGAAGCUGCUCCCACCUAAGUGUGUGCUAAACCCAGAAUAGAUGCAAAUUUGGGGAAGUUUAAAUAUAUUCUCUUUGCCUCCUGUAUUUAAAGGAAAUCUGAUUUGGGUUUUGAAUGCCUUUUGGGAUGUAUUAGAAUAUUUUAGGUGAUAAACAGAUAAGGAAUAGUCUGCUUCUGUUAGGUUUUUCCUGGGCAUUUUAAAUGUUGAAUUUUCAAAUAGAAUUAUUUGAUUAUAAUUCAGAGAUACUGGUAUGAUUUUGAUACCUUUAAUAGAGAGCUUUCUAAGAUAAAAAAAUGGGAAUAUGCCUAACAUAUAAGGCAUUUCUGUCAAAAGCAUAGUUUUACUAUUAAAGUAUGAGGUUCAAAAUUCCGGUUAUAAAAUAAGUAAGUCAUGGGAUGUAAUGUACAGCAUGGGGACUAUUAAUACAUAUUGUAAAAAAAAGAUAUUAUUUAAAUAUAUGUGCAUGACACAUGUACAUGUAAGUUUCUUGUGGCUGCUGUAACAAAUUGCUACAAACGGGAUGGCUUGAAACAUUAUCCGUUCAUUCCCUUAGAGUUCUGGAGGCGUAGUUGGAAAUCAGUUUCACUGGACUGAAAUCAAGGGGUCCACAGAGCCGUGCGCCCUCACCUCUUCCGGCUUCCAGAGGCGCGCUGCUUGCAUGGCUGGGCUCGGGUCCCCUUCCCCCGGCUUCACAGCCAGCAGGACACCCGCCUCCUCUGACCUUCCGCCUCCUUCCCUCAGACGGCUUUCUUCUCUCUUCUGCCAAACGCCCCUCCGCCCUCCUCUCCCAAGGGCAUGUGUGACGUCAUUAGGGCCCACCCAAACCAUCCAGGAUUAUCUACCCAUCCCAACAUCCACAACUGAAUCCCAUCUGCCAAGGCCAUUUUGCCAACAUACGGUGGCACCCACAGGUUCCGGGGGUUAGGACCCGGGUGUCUUUUCCUGCCGUUAUCCAACCUGCCCCACAGCGUGUAGUGUUGUCCAAUUCCGUUGAGUAGUGCAUUUGUGCACUGAGGGAAACUAACCAUUUUUUUUAUUGUGGUAAAACAUGCAUAAAAUGUACCAUUUUAGCCAUUUUCGGUAUUGUAAAUUCAUUGAUAAUGAAUUACAUUCACAGAGUUGUGCAACCACCGCUGCCCAUCUCUGGGGGCUUUCACCGUCCCAGACUGAAGCUCUGUCCCCAUUGAACCCUGACGCCCCCUCUCCCGCCCCCAGCCCCGGACAAGCACCGGCACAUUCUGUCUCUGAUUUGGUGACUCUAGGAACUUGGCAUAAGCGGAAUCAUACAGUAUUUAUUCUUUUAUGGCUACAUUUUUAAAUGAUUUUUUAAAACUUAAUCUUCAUAUAGAUAUUCUCAGAUUGUUUAAUUUGCGGUGUCAGUGUGGGUCAGGGCAACAUGGAAUGUGGAGCUAGACGCAGUUACAAAGCAGCAGCAGCCUUCUUUGCCUUGAGAAUUUCCAGGGAUAAUGGCUAGAACCCGCCAGAGACCUUGACUUCUAUCAUUCCCAUACAGAGAAAGAAUCUUAAAAUUUACUUUAAAAAAACAGGAUCCAUGUGAAUGGCAGAUACUGUUUGUGAAAACAUUGUGUCUUGCCAAUGGGUUUCAGCCCCGGGCAAGUUCGCUAUGGAUUCAGUGUGACCAAAGAAAUCCACAGCAAAACGUUCUUUGGGGUGGAAGGGUUUGUUACCCGGCUUGUUCUCCCGGCGGGUAGUUGGAGCACUAGCCUCUCUGCCUCCGCCCAGAGCACCGGGACGAGCUCUCCACAUAGCGCAGUGAUAGCUUAUUGCCUACCGGUGUGGAAGCGGCCCCCCAGCAACAGGCCAGUUACAUCAUCAGGUGGUUUAAGUUCAGUGAGGAUCCUGGCCAUAGGAACCCCAACUUCCCCACACAUUGUCAGGGUCCUCAUCCCCCCAUUUGAUUUCUCUGUUAAAACUUUUGGAUGCCAAUGGGAUUGGCCCACAGCACGGGUCCAGGAGGCAGGUCCCCAAGUCUGACUCCACUUAUGUGAGGUUCCCACAGGUCAGCAGAGUCGGACCCGUGGGACAGACACAGAGCUGUGAACAGGUUCUGCCUCGGACCCGGUUGGCACCCCCUGCACACCUAGCUCUUUGGUCUUACAGCCCUCCCGGGCACAUUUCUAUUGGACGGCACAACUCUAGAACUCGCCUUGCUAUGAACCAGGUACGUCUGCCUCCAAAGGCACCGUGUGUGCGUGAGGAGUCAGAGGGCUGGCUGGGCACUGGCUUUUAACUACAGACAGUGAGAGGUUUCGCCUCUUCUGUAAGCAGAAGCGGAAGAGCCCUGGAAGCAGCUCCGUGGCCCUGCAUCCUGAGGAUCGGCUCACCCUGCCGGGUGACUUCCACCUGGGCCUUCGCCUCUGGUAGCCUUUCCUGAGAGUAGUGGGUCUACAAGUGUCUAGUGGGUGCCCAAAUAAAGUGUGUGCUCGGUGCAUAUA